UGGUUGGUUGAUUUGUAGCCACAAGCUCUCAGGGCUCACCCCAUCUCUUCAACUCCAUAAUCCAUAUCCAAACUUACAUUGUUGGAAUUUGAACUAUUGUAAAGUUUAAUGAGUUUAAAAAAAGUUUAAACAAUAGCACAAAGGGAAAAGAGGCAGCCAUGGAAGCUCUAAGAGCUCUCUCCCUUUCUUCGUUUCACCUCACCAUACCCCCAAAAAUACUUCCCGGAACCCAAAUUGAACAGUCACCCCUUUUAAAUCUCUCAUUAACUAAACGACCCAAUUCAUAUUUCUCAUCAUUUCAUGCCAACACACCUAAAUUCAAGCUUCAUACAGCCGUUUCUCGAGCUGUUUCAACUGAAUUGACAGACCCACCUGAGCAAGAACUAGAAAUUCAAAACCAAGAUGAGAAAUUUGACUGGUUUUCUCAAUGGUAUCCGAUCAUGCCGGUUUGUGACCUCGAUAAGAGUGCCCCACACGGGAAGAAGGUAUUGGGUCUUGAUAUAGUGGUGUGGUGGGACAAAAAUGAGAAUGCAUGGAAGGUGUUUGAUGAUGCUUGCCCUCAUAGAUUGGCUCCACUUUCUGAAGGAAGGAUUGAUCAGUGGGGGAGAUUGCAGUGUGUGUACCAUGGUUGGUGUUUUGGUGGUGCUGGUGACUGCAAAUUCAUUCCUCAAGCACCCCGAGACGGUCCUCCGGUGUUAACUCUGAAAUGACAAAUAUAUACUCCCAUUUUGUUAUUUAUAUAGCUAGAUCAUCUUGUUGCAUAUUACUAUAAUUGUAGUGUUAAUUUCAUUAGAUUAAGGUUAAAUCGAAAUAAGUUUUUUAUUUUUUUCAAGUUUAUUAGAAUUGCUAUGCAAUGAAUUAUAUGAAUUCUCAUGGACAACGUUAAAAAACUGUCCCUUCUGAUUGGUGUGAUUCAACUCUACCUGCGGUUUUUGCUAAAGUCUUUAUAUAAUAUAGCAUGUCUUAUCUUUUCCAUGUUAAUUCUCUGAUACAUAAAACUCAAAUUAUUAGCAUAAUGUUUCUUGGGGUACAACAAAGGGGUAAAGGCUCCAAAAUAAAUUAAAUAGUCAGAAUAGGGAAGGAGAUUUCAUUAUUAGAGGGUGUCGUAAGAAUGCGUAGCUCUUGACUUUGAUGCAGGGGCAGUCAUAAGUCAAGCCAAAAUAGGAUUUUUCAUUGGGUAAACUUCAAACGGCCGUAAGUUUUGAUUUAAGAAGAGUUACGGGGCCCAAAAUAUAUCAAAUUUAAGAUCUCAACAGCUCUAUAGAUUUAAUAUCGUAUGGGCCCCGUAACUCUCAUUGGAUAAAAAGUUAGUAAGUUAUGCCUGUUUGAAGUUUACAUGACGAAAUCUUCUAUUUUACUCGACUUAGUCGACUUUUGACUCUACCCCUGCAUAGGACUUGGUAUGAUGUUGGUCUUAGCAGAGUUGUGCACCAAAUAAUCUUCCUGCCAGGUAUGAAUAGACUUAUGCUGCCAUUGCAUUUUUUAAAAGCUCGCUUAUGUAUAGGAUUAAAGUAUAAUGCGAGUCAAGGUGGUCACUUUGAAGAUUUAAAUACAUGAAAAUUUGCAAGUCAAUCUCAGAAAUUACUUGAGUAAGCCUUCCUAUUGAGUCUGCCAGAGAAUUCCUUUCUAUAGGCAGUUUAAAUUUUCAAAAAUUAUCCUAGAUCACUUUACAUUCUUGCUCUUGAGGAUGACUAUCAUAUAAGAAUUUAAAGGCAGACUGUGUUGUGAACUAACCAUUUGGAUAGGCUUUCUAGAGGAUGACGUAAAGCAUGAUUUAGCUGUAACUUUACCCGUGGAAUUAUUGAUUGUUAACGAAGUUACUUUCUAGAUUGGUAAUUUAGCAUACGGGAAUUAGGAGUGCAGCAUGUUUUGAAUCUUAUGAUCCAAGUCACUGUAUGCUGUUCAUAUGUUUAUGUGAACUAUGCAAAAGAAAAACAGAAAAGAUGUGAAUUAGUUUUGCAGGUUUCUUCAUUUUGCAUAGAAAGUAAAAAGUUAUGUAUAAUUGAAGUUCAGCAAUUUCCUUCAUCAAAUGAGGAGUGCAGCAUGUUUUUUUUAGUAUUUUUAUCCAAGUAAAGAUGUUCUUAUGUUUAUUUUAUCUAUGCAAAAGAAUUCUAAAGAAGAUGUUGAUCAAUUUUAUAUUUUUCCGCCAGUUUUUGUACUCCAAUAGUUAAAAAUAAUACCAUUGAGGUUCAAUAAUCAUUUUACAUAUUUAUUUCUUCAUAUUGCCGGUGCUUGUAGCAUAUUAGACCAGUUUAUAUGUGGGAUUUGAAUUGAUCACUCCAACUAAUUAUGUAGAUAAACACAUCCAAGAAAGCAUGUGUAGCUGUUUAUCCAAGUACUGUGCAGAAUGACAUUGUUUGGUUUUGGCCAAACACUGAUCCUAAAUAUGUGGAUAUCCUUCUGAAGAAAAAGCCUCCGUACAUUCCAGAACUGGAUGACCCAUCAUAUGCUAGGUUAAUGGGAAACAGAGAUAUACAAUAUGGGUAUGCAACGAUAAUUCUUACCUAUUAUUUUAGUGUGCUUAUGUAUAAUUUUUUUUUGACAAACUUCGUUGACACUGUUUCUAAGUGGAAAUAUUUUAGAAGUUCCACUUCAGAGGGGAAAACCUUGUAGGUGUUGUGGACAAUCAUAAACUGAACUGAUAGAGGAACGGUAAUCUAGACAGGAAACCAAUUCAACAUCAUUUCCAUAAACCACCUCUAAAUGUCUAUGAAAAACACAGAAUUAAAUAAUUUUACUCAGAUACUCACUCUAAGGAUGAAAAAAAAUUGAAUCUUUGUAACUGGUGAAGGCCCUCUAGAAUGAUUCAUUAUCCUAAUAGCACAAAUGCUCUUAUACUACAUCAUAAUCAUGUUAUCAGAAAAUAAAAUAAAAAAUGAGACAUCAUGUGUUCAGUUUUUUGAGGAUUUACUCUUCAAAUCAAAUUCUUCACAAACAAGUUCAAGGACUAUAUCAACCUUCUUGUGAAGAAGACACUUAUAGGAAUCCAUUUUCAAAAUAGUCAUCCUAUAUCAUAGGCAAUUUCAAUUUCUAUUUAAUAGUUCAUUAUUCACAGUAGAAGUUAGUCAUAGAAAGCAGUAGUGGCGCCUCCAUUUGCUACAUGACCUUUGGUGUUGCAACUCACAAGGGAGUGACUUGUCCAACAUCAAAGUAGGAUGAAGAGGACAAAGAAAGAAUAUGUUGACUGGAUCAUUGUGGCACACUGUCUCUCUUUGUCCUCAACCCAAAUUUUCUGAAUCAAUUGGUAAUUAUGCAAAGAUAUAUGUACAUUUUCUUUGUGUAAUUUUGUUAUCAAAAUACUAUGGGUUCUUCUAGGUAAGAUGAAGUGAUUUUUUCAGGUACGAGGUUCUGAUUGAAAAUCUUAUGGACCCUGCUCAUGUUCCAUAUGCACAUUACGGUAUAAUGGGACGUCAAACAGGGAAAAACAGAUAAGAACUUCAAUAACACCAUUAUUUUUUGUUGUUGCAUUCCAUUUUCUCUUAAUUUAUAAUAGGUUCACCUAACUAACAAUAUGUUUUCCUCACUGAGAAGGUUGAUAGAGAAGGGGGCAGACCUAUUGAAAUAAGUAUAAAGAAACUAGACAAAAAUGGUUUUACUGCAAAGCAGGAGACCAUAGACUUCAAUUUUAUUGCUCCUUGUGUGUUUCAUGGUUAUGCUACUGUCAAGGGGAAACAAGGUAAAGGAUCUGCAUCAGCAGCUGGAACCACAGAGGUAUUCGUCAUGGUACAUUAAUUUGACUAAUGUUGGUUAAUUUGCUGUUAUUCUGAUCCUUUGAUAUUUGAACUUCGAUUUGUACAUACUUUGGUUGGUACAGGAGCUAUCAUCACAGGCGCCACAAAAAAGGGUCCUGUUAAUUUUUUUAUGUGUUCCAGUUAGUCCGGGUAAUAGCAGAAUUAUAUGGUCCUUCCCAAGAAACUUUGGAGUUUGGAUUGAUAAAGUUGUUCCACGAUGGAUGUUUCAUGUGGGACAAAACUUGAUCCUCGAUUCAGACUUAUAUCUUCUUCACAUGGAGGUAACUUCUGUCACUUUGUAGACUCAAGAGACAAUUUCCUGUUAGGUAGCUUGUUGUAUUUAUGUUAUGUUGCUUAUUUUCCUUUGAUACUUUUUGUGGAGUGACUAAUAUAAUUAGAAUAACCAAAUUGACAAAUUGGUUAUCAGGGAAGAUUGGCCACCUAGAUGAUUAGAACACAUGAGGUGUAUAGGCUACAAUCCUCAGCACAACCGUAGUAAAGGAAGGUUUACGUCUAACAGCUUUAGAUCAGCUAUAUCUGAUUUUUUUUGUUGCUAUUCUGCAUUCUUUUCAGCUAUUUCCUUUAUUACAUUAUUAUUGAUCAUUGUGAUUUGUUGUUAACAUAGCUUUGCUUUCUAUGCCUUUCUAGUACUUUUGGCUCAUUUAAUUUGAGCCAAUCCACUCUCAGGAAGCCCCUGCCUUCUUGUACUUCCAGGCCACUAAAUUCUUAACAAUCUAAUACUUCAGCAUCGAAUGCCAGAAAAUAAAAACAACUCUUUUGCAUCACUGUUCAAUGCACAUGAGUGGUUGGUUCAUGUAAUUUGGAUAUAAUAUUUUCCUUUAUAAAAAACUUUACGUAAGUUGUUUCGUCGAUUCUUAAAUAAUUUAAUUUCGGGGAGAAGCUGUUCCUUAAUCUGGCAUUGGACCUUGGAUUGUGCGAUACUUCAGGUAGAAUUCUCCAACUCAUAUUUGUUCCUUUCUUUUUGCUCUUUUUUUUUUCAACCCCCUGCCAAAAAGAAAACUCCCUGUUUAGUUGCUACCAGUCUUUUCAGAUACCAAAGUGGGUAAAACACGUAAGGGAAGGUGUAAGACUGAUGCAUCAUUCGUGGAACAUACUAUAAUAGCUUAAUCUUUUGGACUAAACUCAUCGUGUAGCACCCAUCAUCUUUUCCUUAUUUGUGCCACCUUUAACUCCUUAAAGUGCACCCCUUUAUUUCUUUAUUGUCAUUAGUCUCUCAUCCAUCCAUCAUAGGAGAAGACUGAAGUGUUUCCCCACAGUUUUCUCCAACAAGAAGUGAAACAUAGUUGCAGUUUUGGCUGUUUACUUCCUGACUAGCUACACAGCCAUAAAAAGCAUCCAUAUUCUGUUAUGUUUCAAUAAAUCUGGUGGAGCCUUGUCUAAGUUUUUAUUUCCCGACUCUUGUGUUUUCCAUAUAGGAACGUAAGAUUAUGGAUGUCGGCCCUUCCAACUGGCAGAAAGCUGUUUUUGUGCCAACAAAAUCAGAUGCUCAUGUGGUGGCAUUCAGAAGGUGGUUAAACAAGUAUUCAGGAGGUCAAUUUGAUUGGGGAACAAAGUUCAGUGGAGCCCUUCCGCCCACCCCUCCAAAAGAACAGCUGCUGGACAGGUAAGUUUCCUGCAAUUUUUUGGUUUUAAACAACCUACAAAAUUUUGUGGAUAGUGAAAUAGUUUCUCACUUUAUUAUAAUGAUUUAUUAUUUUUGGCUCAAGGGAAUGAGCCAAAAUAUUGGGAGAGGAUAAAGGUCGUUGCAACAUUAUAAUUUUAAUUAUAAUAGUGGAAAUCUGAAGUUACUAUUACUGAUCCUAAGGCUUUACUUUUUUACCGAGCUAUAAGAAAUGAGAUGAAUCCUUCAAUCACAUGUUAGAAUUCCUAACCCCAUUUGCUGUAAAAUUAAGUGUUUAUUUCCAUUUUUUCUGUAUUUAUUGAGAGGUUAACGAAUAGUUCUGAUAUACUUCAUGACAACUUGAAAUUUUCACAAAGUCGAAAACAUAAUGUAUAAACUCCUUUCCUGGUCUUAUGUUGUGCUGUGUGCUCUAGUAGGCUACACAAUGGGCUGUAGCCUGCCUUCUUGCCAUAUACCCCUCUCCUAUUGUGGACCUUUAUAAAGGACAAAAGAUAUUUCAUUUGAGCAAGACAUCUGAUGGUUAUGUAUGCAUUUCUUCCUACAAGCAUUAUGAUCUUUCAAACCUUAAAAAACUUAUUAAGGUUGUCAUAAUCUUAAUUUUCAGAUCCCAAUUGAUAAUGCUCUUUCUUUUUCAUUGUUUAGUAUAAAUGCUCUCUUCAAAUAUUGAAAAGAAAAGGCAACACCCCAGUUCCACAUCGACAUCUAUAUAAGGAAAUAAGUUACUACCAAUAGUGUCUUCAAGUCAUGACCUUUUGGGUGAGCCUUUGGUGGACUAAGAUGACCCAAGAAGAUACUAUUUGGCAAGUGGUUUAAGGCUUUAUUUGGAUGGAUUUUUUGAUUCGAUUCAGACUUGGGAUUUAACCGAGAUUUGUUCCGGACUCGGGAUUCGACCGGGUUGUUUCAUGAAGUGUUUCUGAAAAUUUCUUGGUAUAUUGUGUGUCAGGUAUUGGUCCCACGUAGUGAAUUGCCGCAGCUGCAGUGCUGCAUAUAAAGGCCUCAAUGCACUCGAGGUGGCGCUGCAGAUUAUCUCCAUUGCUACAGUUGGGAUUGUUGCUGCAACAAAGGAGGGCAUGAUCUCCGCGAUACUGAGGAAUACUCUGGUUGCCAUGGCAGUACUGUGCUUUGCCACAUCAAAAUUAUUGUCUCACUUCAUCUACAAGAAUUUCCAUUUCCAUGAUUAUAACCAUGCCUUCCGUUGAGACUCCUUGUUUCCUUGUCCUCCAGAUUUUUCAAUCGGUGUGUAAAUAUGAUUACUUAAAAAUCAUUAGAAAAUCGCUCGCUAUAGUAACCGUUCCAUUUCAAUGAGUUUUUAAAUGGUACUAGCAGUAUAAUCCCGUGGGGUCUUAUUGUUGAUUCUUAAUUAUUCGAAGUCUAAAAUUUUGAUUCUAAAAUUUUAUAUUUACAUUUUGGUGAAUUUUUUUAAAUAAUUCUUUAUAUUAAGGUUGAAUGAAAGUAUAAAAUAUAAAAUAAUUUAGGAAUAAUAAAAACAAGGAAAUUGUUUUCAAGCAUUGUAAUAUUUAUUUAUAUUUUCAUGUAAGAUUAUUUAUUUAAGAGAAUGUUAUGUUGGUUGUUGCAAAAAGGAUUUAGUAUUCAGUGGGUGAAUCCACUGUUGUAUGCGGAUUCAUAUUAGUUUUAAUUUUUUGAAAUAAAGAAAAAUUGUUACUGAUUAUUAUUCAACAAAGCAUGAGCCUUUUUUUCACCUUAAAUUAGAUCCUAAGCAAGAGCCUUUUUUUCACCUUCAAUUUUAUAUCAAACAUAUUAUAAAAUUCAGUUCAAUUUUAUCUAAUUUACUCACCAACAAUCAAUUACUCUACUUCACAACUUCUUACAAAAGCUAAAUAAAUAAAUACCAAUUAAAAAUAUAGCAAAUAUACCAUCUCUUCAAUUAAUAUGAGAAAUUAAAUUACCAUAAAUGUGUGUUUUUGCUUACUAAUAUGGUAUACCGUAUAUAUAUAUAUAUAUAUAGCAACACUCGUUGUUGGUGGGUUACCUAUCAUUACUCUUUUAAACUGUCCAAACAAAAUGACUGUGUUGGUAUAUGACUGGUGUCUGCAUGGAUGGCUGAUUUCAAGCCACAAGCUCUCAGAGCUCUCUAUCCAAACUUACUCCCAUUGUUGGAAUUUGAAUUACUUAUAUUAAAUUGAGUUCAAACAAUAGCACAAAGGGAAAAGAGGCAGCCAUGGAAGCUCUAAGAGCUCUCUCCCUUUCUUCGUUUCACCUUACCAUACCCCCAAAAAUACUUCCCGGAACCCAAAUUGAACAGUCACCCCUUUUGAAUCUCCCAUUAACUCAACGACCCAAUUCAUAUUUCUCAUCAUUUCAUGCCAACAAGCCCAAAUUCAAGCUUCAAACUGCCAUUUCUCCUGCUGUUUCAACUGAACUGACAGACCCACCUGAGCAAGAACUAGAAAUUCAAAACCAAGAUGAGAAAGUUGACUGGUUUUCCCAUUGGUAUCCGAUCAUGCCUGUUUGUGACCUCGAUAAGAGGGCCCCACAUGGGAAGAAGGUAUUGGGUCUUGAUAUGGUGGUGUGGUGGGACAGGAA
RNAcentral lists this long non-coding RNA (7917 nucleotides) under Panax ginseng (ginseng). RNAcentral describes it as "long non-coding RNA (PGIN_LNC002235)". The record is from RNAcentral. Lineage: Eukaryota; Viridiplantae; Streptophyta; Magnoliopsida; Apiales; Araliaceae.